GGGUAUCGUUCUUUGAAGGUGCAUAGAGGGAGCACCUUAGGAGGAAGGUGAAACAGAAAAAGGAAGCAAGGCGAGCAAACCCAGAGCUGGCAUCCCUCCUAUUCUGCUCCAGGCAAGUUCUGUUCUGUGGCCGUCAUUACGCACAGACCACUUUGGGGAGAUUUGGAGUCAUGGCAACAGAGGACAUUUGGCUUAUGAAGACAAUAAGGAAUUACCAGCCAAUGGGUUGGGCAUUUGAAGUGGUGAAUGGAAUUUUACAAAGAGAGAUCAGCAUUGAUAAAGGCAUGGAGGCGUGAGUGAGCAGACAGUAUCCAACAACCAGUAGAGAAGCUCUGACCUUUCCAGGUGCCUAAUUUUUUUUUUUUUUUACAU
This 372-nucleotide long non-coding RNA is filed under the name Ictidomys tridecemlineatus (thirteen-lined ground squirrel). Its description in RNAcentral is "lncRNA (ENSSTOG00000032940.1)". Lineage: Eukaryota; Metazoa; Chordata; Mammalia; Rodentia; Sciuridae. The record is from RNAcentral.